UUCAUGUGGAACCAAUGUAUCAGUGUGUU
RNAcentral lists this non-coding RNA (29 nucleotides) under Mus musculus (house mouse). The record is from RNAcentral. Lineage: Eukaryota; Metazoa; Chordata; Mammalia; Rodentia; Muridae.